Molecule: long non-coding RNA, 353 nt
Organism: Thalassophryne amazonica
Lineage: Eukaryota; Metazoa; Chordata; Actinopteri; Batrachoidiformes; Batrachoididae
Exons: 2
Source: RefSeq, a predicted model, not a curated record
AGCAGGGCAAUGCAUUUAAAGACUCACUGAUGGUUGACCUCUUUAAGUCUCUGGAAAUAUACAUUCAUAGUCCCAUGAAAGACACGCUGCACUCUUCAUCAGAAGACAGUUUUCAGUUGUUAACAGAUUAAUUUUAGCUUUGUAGUAAAUCUUGUUAUAACAGACAUUAGUGUAUAGACUGCGCACAGUACAGUUAUCAGCAUGCCCAGUCGCUCCCAUAUCAAGGGGCUAACCCAGUGUCUGAUAUUAUGACACUAUUUUAGACUGCUGUUGUGAAGAAUUUACCCCGAUACUCUUAUUUUUGGUUUCAGAAAGGCAAUUGGGGCCACAAAUCAGCAAUGAGACCAGCUUAA